RNAcentral lists this ribosomal RNA (342 nucleotides) under uncultured eukaryote. RNAcentral describes it as "partial 18S ribosomal RNA". It matches the Rfam family "Eukaryotic small subunit ribosomal RNA", at positions 592 to 976 of the family's 1831-position model. The record is from RNAcentral.
CAAUAGCGUAUAUUAAAGUUGUUGCGGUUAAAACGCUCGUAGUCGAAAUUCAAUCUAAACUAGCUGUCUGGGCAUUUUGUCUAAGCAGUCAAGUUUGAAUUUUCCUGCAUGCAGGAAUAUUACUUUGAGGAAAUUAGAGUGUUUAAAGCAAGCGUUAGCUUUGAAUACCACAGCAUGGAAUAAUAAUAUAAGACUUUAGCUAUAUUUUGUUGGUUCAUAUAUCUGAAGUAAUGAUUAAUGGAAACAGUCGGGGGCAUUCGUAUUUAACUGUCAGAGGUGGAAUUCUUGGAUUUGUUAAGGACGAACAACUGCGAAAGCAUUUGCCAAGUAUGUUUUCAUUGA